RNAcentral lists this ribosomal RNA (492 nucleotides) under uncultured bacterium. Its description in RNAcentral is "partial 16S ribosomal RNA". It matches the Rfam family "Bacterial small subunit ribosomal RNA", at positions 35 to 507 of the family's 1533-position model. The record is from RNAcentral.
GGGGGGGGCGGGGGGUGGGGCGGGCGGGGGCGAGUCGGGGGGCGGCGCAGGACGAGGUUGCUCUUACGGGUGGCGAGUGGCGGACGGGUGGGGGAGACAUCGGAAUCUACUUUUUCGUGGGGGAUAACGUAGGGAGACUUACGCUCGUACCUCAUACGACCUACGGGUGACAGCCGUGGAUCUUCGGACCUUGCGCGAUUGAAUGGGCCGAUGUCGGAUUAGCUAGUUGGCGGGGUAAAGGCCCACCAAGGCGACGAUCCGUAGCUGGUCUGAGAGGAUGAUCAGCCACACUGGAACUGAGACACGGUCCAGACUCCUACGGGAGGCAGCAGUGGGGAAUAUUGGACAAUGGGCGCAAGCCUGAUCCAGCCAUACCGCGUGGGUGAAGAAGGCCUUCGGGUUGUAAAGCCCUUUUGUUGGGAAAGAAAAGCAGCAGGUUAAUACCCCGCUGUUCUGACGGUACCCAAAGAAUAAGCACCGGCUAACUUCGUG